RNAcentral lists this ribosomal RNA (467 nucleotides) under uncultured Pseudomonadota bacterium. RNAcentral's name for it is "bacterial SSU rRNA". It matches the Rfam family "Bacterial small subunit ribosomal RNA", at positions 355 to 816 of the family's 1533-position model. Lineage: Bacteria; Pseudomonadati; Pseudomonadota. The record is from RNAcentral.
UGGGGAAUCUUGCGCAAUGGACGAAAGUCUGACGCAGCGACGCCGCGUGAGCGAUGAAGGCCUUCGGGUUGUAAAGCUCUGUGGGGAGAGACGAAUAAGGUGCAGCUAAUACCUGCAUCGAUGACGGUAUCUCCUUAGCAAGCACCGGCUAACUCUGUGCCAGCAGCCGCGGUAAGACAGAGGGUGCAAACGUUGUUCGGAAUUACUGGGCGUAAAGCGCGUGUAGGCGGCUGCCUAAGUCGGGCGUGAAAUCCCAUGGCUCAACCAUGGAAGUGCACCCGAAACUGGGUAGCUAGAGUCCUGGAGAGGAAGGUGGAAUGCUUGGUGUAGAGGUGAAAUUCGUAGAUAUCAAGCGGAACACCGGUGGCGAAGGCGGCCUCUGGACAGUGACUGACGCUGAGACGCGAAAGCGUGGGGAGCAAACAGGAUUAGAUACCCUGGUAGUCCACGCCGUAAACGAUGAGUGC